GACGAACGCUGGCGGCGUGCUUAACACGUGCAAGUCGAACGGAAAGGCCCUGCUUUUGUGGGGUGCUCGAGUGGCGAACGGGUGAGUAACACGUGAGUAACCUGCCCUUGACUUUGGGAUAACUUCAGGAAACUGGGGCUAAUACCGGAUAGGAGCUCCUGCUGCAUGGUGGGGGUUGGAAAGUUUCGGCGGUUGGGGAUGGACUCGCGGCUUAUCAGCUUGUUGGUGGGGUAGUGGCUUACCAAGGCUUUGACGGGUAGCCGGCCUGAGAGGGUGACCGGCCACAUUGGGACUGAGAUGCGGCCCAGACUCCUACGGUAGGCAGCAGUGGGGAAUAUUGCACAAUGGGCGGAAGCCUGAUGCAGCAACGCCGCGUGCGGGAUGACGGCCUUCGGGUUGUAAACCGCUUUCGCCUGUGACGAAGCGUGAGUGACGGUAAUGGGUAAAGAAGCACCGGCUAACUACGUG
RNAcentral lists this ribosomal RNA (468 nucleotides) under uncultured bacterium. RNAcentral's name for it is "partial 16S ribosomal RNA". It matches the Rfam family "Bacterial small subunit ribosomal RNA", at positions 28 to 507 of the family's 1533-position model. The record is from RNAcentral.